AGACACCUACAUAUAUGAAGGCAACAAUAGUGUAUAGCUGUUCAAAUGUCACAAAUAGAUUGAGAGAAAACAAAUCCAGGUUACAUAAUAAGACCAAGGAAAACGCAUCAACUCUAAGAGGAAAACAACGAAACAACAUAAACACUUAAGUGCAACAUAAACAGACGCCAACAUAAAUAGAAACGGACAAUUCGAUAACAGCUGCCAUAUUCCAUAUACUAUAUAAUAUUUUAAGUAAAUAUAGGUUCAAUAAUGAAUACACACAUUGUAUAACGAUGUUUGAAUUUAUGAAACUCAUAAAGAGUUUAGGUUCAAAUAUGUCAAACUUAUUUUUAAUAUUAAUAUUAUUACCGUCAUCAUUAACAUUAUUAAUGUUUGUCUUUGGUUUUCAACCGUUGCGAUUGUUUUAUGAUAACUCAAAAACAUGCAUGA
RNAcentral lists this long non-coding RNA (432 nucleotides) under Mytilus galloprovincialis (Mediterranean mussel). Lineage: Eukaryota; Metazoa; Mollusca; Bivalvia; Mytilida; Mytilidae. The record is from RNAcentral.